This 253-nucleotide ribosomal RNA is filed under the name uncultured bacterium. Its description in RNAcentral is "partial 16S ribosomal RNA". It matches the Rfam family "Bacterial small subunit ribosomal RNA", at positions 524 to 776 of the family's 1533-position model. The record is from RNAcentral.
GACAGAGGAUGCAAGCGUUAUCCGGAAUGAUUGGGCGUAAAGCGUCUGUAGGUGGCUUUUUAAGUCCGCCGUCAAAUCCCAGGGCUCAACCCUGGACAGGCGGUGGAAACUACCAAGCUGGAGUACGGUAGGGGCAGAGGGAAUUUCCGGUGGAGCGGUGAAAUGCGCAGAUAUCAGGAGGAACACCAAUGGCGAAGGCAGCUCGCUGGGACGGUACUGACGCUGAGACGCGAAAGCGUGGGGAGCAAACAGG